This 234-nucleotide ribosomal RNA is filed under the name uncultured bacterium. RNAcentral describes it as "partial 16S ribosomal RNA". It matches the Rfam family "Bacterial small subunit ribosomal RNA", at positions 118 to 347 of the family's 1533-position model. The record is from RNAcentral.
UGAGUAACCUGCCCUUAACUCUGGGAUAAGCCUGGGAAACUGGGUCUAAUACCGGAUAUGACUCCUCAUCGCAUGGUGGGGGGUGGAAAGCUUUUUGUGGUUUUGGAUGGACUCGCGGCCUAUCAGCUUGUUGGUGAGGUAAUGGCUCACCAAGGCGACGACGGGUAGCCGGCCUGAGAGGGUGACCCGGCCACACUGGGACUGAGACACGGCCCAGACCUCCUACGGGAGCAG